GGAAGAAGAACUACAGGAUUCCCCUAGUAACUGCGAGUGAAGCGGGAAAAGCUCAAAUUUAAAAUCUGACAGUCUCUGGCUGUCCGAGUUGUAAUCUAGAGAAGUAAUGCCCGUGCUGGACCGUAUACAAGUCUCCUGGGAUGGAGCAUCAUGGAGGGUGAGAAUCCCGUCUCUGAUACGGACUACCAGUGCAUUGUGGUAUGCUCUCAACGAGUCGAGUUGUUUGGGAAUGCAGCUCAAAAUGGGUGGUAAAUUCCAUCUAAAGCUAAAUAUUGGCGAGAGACCGAUAGCGAACAAGUACCGUGAGGGAAAGAUGAAAAGAACUUUGGAAAGAGAGUUAAACAGUACGUGAAAUUGCUGAAAGGGAAACGCUUGAAGUCAGUCGCGUCUGCUGGGAAUCAGCCUCGCUUUUGCGUGGUGUACUUUCUGGUUGACGGGUCAGCAUCAAUUUUGAUCGCUGGAAAAAUUUGGGAGGAAUGUGGCAGCCCAGGCUGUGUUAUAGCCUCUCAUUGUAUACAGCGGUUGGGAUUGAGGAAUGCAGCACGCCGAAAGGCCGGGUCUUCGGACUACGUUCGUGCUUAGGAUGCUGGCAUAAUGGCUUUAAGCGACCCGUCUUGAAACACGGACCAAGGAGUCUAACAUGCCUGCGAGUGUUUGGGUGGAAAACUCGAGCGCGCAAUGAAAGUGAAAGUUGAGAUCCCUGUCGUGGGGAGCAUCGACGCCCGGACCAGAACUUUUGGGACGGAUCCGCGGUAGAGCAUGUAUGUUGGGACCCGAAAGAUGGUGAACUAUGCCUGAAUAGGGUGAAGCCAGAGGAAACUCUGGUGGAGGCUCGUAGCGGUUCUGACGUGCAAAUCGAUCGUCAAAUUUGGGUAUAGGGGCGAAAGACUAAUCGAACCAUCUAGUAGCUGGUUCCUGCCGAAGUUUCCCUCAGGAUAGCAGAAACUCAUAUCAGAUUUAUGUGGUAAAGCGAAUGAUUAGAGGCCUUGGGGUUGAAACAACCUUAACCUAUUCUCAAACUUUAAAUAUGUAAGAACGAGCCGUUUCUUGAUUGAACCGCUCGGUGAAUGAGAGUUUCUAGUGGGCCAUUUUUGGUAAGCAGAACUGGCGAUGCGGGAUGAACCGAACGCGAGGUUAAGGUGCCGGAAUUCACGCUCAUCAGACACCACAAAAGGUGUUAGUUCAUCUAGACAGCAGGACGGUGGCCAUGGAAGUCGGAACCCGCUAAGGAGUGUGUAACAACUCACCUGCCGAAUGAACUAGCCCUGAAAAUGGAUGGCGCUUAAGCGUGAUACCCAUACCUCGCCGUCAGCGUUGAAGUGACACGUUGACGAGUAGGCAGGCGUGGAGGUCAGUGAAGAAGCCUGGCAGUAGCUGGUAAAC
This 1383-nucleotide ribosomal RNA is filed under the name Micropsalliota sp. XJ-2022a. RNAcentral describes it as "partial large subunit ribosomal RNA". It matches the Rfam family "Eukaryotic large subunit ribosomal RNA", at positions 55 to 1433 of the family's 3401-position model. Lineage: Eukaryota; Fungi; Basidiomycota; Agaricomycetes; Agaricales; Agaricaceae. The record is from RNAcentral.